RNAcentral lists this non-coding RNA (80 nucleotides) under Vaucheria litorea. Lineage: Eukaryota; Xanthophyceae; Vaucheriales; Vaucheriaceae. The record is from RNAcentral.
UGAAGUGAUCGACCUCGUUGAGCAGGAGAUCAACGAGUCACAAAGCAACCCGUCAAAUGUCAUUAUACCAUUGAAUCCGC